Molecule: ribosomal RNA, 484 nt
Filed under: uncultured bacterium
Lineage: Bacteria
Description: partial 16S ribosomal RNA
Rfam family: Bacterial small subunit ribosomal RNA
Source: RNAcentral
AUUGAACGCUGGCGGCAUGCUUUACACAUGCAAGUCGAACGGCAGCGCGGGCUUCGGCCUGGCGGCGAGUGGCGAACGGGUGAGUAAUGCAUCGGAACGUGCCCAGUAGUGGGGGAUAGCCCGGCGAAAGCCGGAUUAAUACCGCAUACGACCUGAGGGUGAAAGCGGGGGACCGAAAGGCCUCGCGCUAUUGGAGCGGACGAUGUCGGAUUAGCUAGUUGGUGGGGUAAAGGCUUACCAAGGCGACGAUCCGUAGCUGGUCUGAGAGGACGACCAGCCACACUGGGACUGAGACACGGCCCAGACUCCCACGGGGGGCAGGAGUGGGGAAGUUUGGACAAGGGGGGGAACCCUGAUCCAGCCAUGCCGCGGGCGGGAAGAAGGCCUUCGGGUUGUAAACCGCUUUUGGUCGGGAAGAAAUCCUCUGGGCUAAUACCCCGGGGGGAUGACGGUACCGGAAGAAUAAGCACCGGCUAACUACGUG